Molecule: non-coding RNA, 130 nt
Filed under: Palpitomonas bilix
Lineage: Eukaryota
Source: RNAcentral
AGGGGGAUACGGGCAGAGAGAAAGGAGCGAGGAGGUAGGCGGGUGAGAGAAGAGAUGCUACGCAUCUUUGCCUGACUCUUCUUGCAUUUAGGCAUCCUCUCCUCUCUUUGCUUCCCGAAUCCCUAUUCCC